Molecule: long non-coding RNA, 716 nt
Organism: Canis lupus familiaris (dog)
Lineage: Eukaryota; Metazoa; Chordata; Mammalia; Carnivora; Canidae
Exons: 4
Source: RefSeq, a predicted model, not a curated record
GAUAAGUCAAUAUGAUUGGAUUCUGAAAAGGAGUCCAUAACCAAGGUCUCUAGGCAGAUGAGAGCCUCCCCAACAUAGGAAUCUCUUCAAAGAUUUCCUGCUUAGCUCUGGGAAAUGGCUCGGCAUCCACAUUGAUGCUUAACUUUAAUUUCACUCCAUCAAGAAAGGGACAGGAGGGGCUAGAAAUCCAGAUUCUUCAUUUGGCUUCCACUGAUAACCAAACUGAAGAAUGCUUCUCAUUGAUGCUGGUGGAUCUAUAAAAAUCUGGAAAGCAGAUCUCACAAUACUCAGGGAAGGGAAGUGUGGAGUACUCCAGAGAACGUCAUACUAAGUUGAGCUCCUCUGUCAUCCGACUCUGCACCGUGCUUGUACAAAACAUAAUAUGCAUAUUUCCAUCCAUGAGGGCCCCCAAAUGAUUGGAGUUUCAAGCCUCACAAAGCCUGAAUCUGUCACUAAGUAACACCUGGCACUUCCCUUUACCUGACAACUUGUUGGUCAUUCUUCAAGAUAUACAGAGAUGUAGCCAAAAGGGAUCCCCGGAGGGAGCUGAAGUCAGGGUUAAUCUCCACUGUGGCAGGCCUCAGGUGCCUAACAAUAGUCAAAAUGUUCCUUCUUCCCCAGACUGCACAGCAAGCUCCCCAAGGCCAAAUUUGGAUCCCACUUAUCUCUGUGUCUUCUACACCUGGCACAGUGCUUGCCAUACCAUAAGCUCUCAA